UUUAGCUGAAGUUAAUGAAAUGUAAAUUAGUUGAAAUCAUAUGUAUGUAAAAAUCUAUAUGUAUAUGUGAUUUCAUAUAUAUAUGUGAAAUAUAUAUGAAGGCGUAUCUAUAGGAAAUAUCUAUCUGGCUUCAAAGGAAGGAGGCAGGAGGGUAUGGAAUGAGGUAUUGAAUGAGGACAGCUUGCCACUGGAUGGGGAGAAGGAGCAGCUGGUAAUGAAGGUCGUCUGUUUGCCACUGUGGAUUAGGAAUAGGGGCCGUCAGAAGGGAAGUGACUACCCUGUGUCUCUUUUCCAUUUUCUGAUGUUCUCUGUGAGUGUUCGAUGCAGCAAGAAGGUUCUGAGAGUCAGAGUCUUGGCAAGCUGGAGAAUGAGUGGAGGAGCCCAGGGAAUGUCUGGCAUGGAAAGAAAGCAGAAGUCAUUGGUCAUAUCCUGUAUCCCGCAGAAUUCUUCUGAGGAAAUAAGACAUGAUGAAUGGAUCAAAAUCCUAACCUCCACUUCCCAUCUUCCUCCUAUCCUGCAAGUGCUUUUUUUUU
Molecule: long non-coding RNA, 533 nt
Organism: Mustela lutreola (European mink)
Lineage: Eukaryota; Metazoa; Chordata; Mammalia; Carnivora; Mustelidae
Exons: 2
Source: RefSeq, a predicted model, not a curated record